GUAGGGGGCAAGCGUUAUCCGGAUUUACUGGGUGUAAAGGGAGCGUAGACGGAGCAGCAAGUCUGAUGUGAAAGACCGGGGCUUAACCCCGGGCCUGCAUUGGAAACUGUUGAUCUUGAGUGCCGGAGGGGUAAGCGGAAUUCCUGGUGUAGCGGUGAAAUGCGUAGAUAUCAGGAGGAACACCGGUGGCGAAGGCGGCUUACUGGACGGCAACUGACGUUGAGGCUCGAAAGCGUGGGGAGCAAACAGGAUUAGAUACCCUGGUAGUCCACGCCGUAAACGAUGACUACUAGGUGUCGGGGCACAAAGUGCUUCGGUGCCGCAGCCAACGCAAUAAGUAGUCCACCUGGGGAGUACGUUCGCAAGAAUG
This 370-nucleotide ribosomal RNA is filed under the name uncultured bacterium. RNAcentral's name for it is "bacterial SSU rRNA". It matches the Rfam family "Bacterial small subunit ribosomal RNA", at positions 527 to 896 of the family's 1533-position model. The record is from RNAcentral.